UAGCGAAGGUCCCAGCAGGGAGGUACGAACUCUUAAAAUGAGACCUCUCUAACAUCAUACAAAACCUUCGCAUACUAAUUUGCCGAAUCGUAGGACACCCUCAACCCUUCAAUUUUUGGGCGUCUUGAACCCUCGGCUAUAUUAUC
Molecule: small nucleolar RNA, 146 nt
Organism: Pistacia vera
Lineage: Eukaryota; Viridiplantae; Streptophyta; Magnoliopsida; Sapindales; Anacardiaceae
Product: small nucleolar RNA snoR145
Exons: 1
Source: RefSeq, a predicted model, not a curated record